Molecule: long non-coding RNA, 390 nt
Filed under: Mytilus galloprovincialis (Mediterranean mussel)
Lineage: Eukaryota; Metazoa; Mollusca; Bivalvia; Mytilida; Mytilidae
Source: RNAcentral
CUGCUCCAUACAACAACAAAAUGACAUGCAUAUAAACAGAAUAUAUAAUCAAUCAAAGCAAAUGGUAUAAAAAAAAAUAACAUAACAAAAAAAAAACCUUAUAUGUGGGAAAGACAGUUAAACGUCCAUCGAAUCAAAUUUUAUAGACUCUGUUAUAAAGUAUCAAAAGUUCGCGUGUAGCACUGAAUGAAUAAAGGCAACAAUAGAAUACCGCUGUUCAAAAUUCAUAAAUCGAUAGAGAAAAAACAAAACCGGGGUACAAACUAAAACUGAGGGAAACGUAUCAAAUAUAAGAGAACUACGACACACAGAGACACAACAGCGAAAUGUAACAACCACAGAAACGAACUAUAAUGUAACAAUGGCCAUUUUCCUGACUUGGUACAGGGC